UACAAUUAGAAAACAGUGAAGAAGUGAAAGACAACAUUUUUUGUGAAGUGGAAAUAGCAAUGAUAUACCUCAUAAUCCUCUGAACCAUCUCAGGUUUAUGUGAAGCAGCUGGUGUGUUACCAGAUGGUCCUCUGAAUGCAUCUGUAGGAGGGACAGUGAUGUUCACCACAACUCUGACUCCAUCAGUGUCCAGUGUGUCCAGAGUCCAGAGUGUUCCAUCAUGGUUUUCAAACUGAAAAAGCCAAUAUCAGGGACUCAUGUGACACCAUCAACAAACCUGACCAUUGAGGGAAACCCUGUCAACUUAACCUGUAAUGCUUCUGGAUCUAUCGUUACCAGAAAAUGGAUGAAAGAUGGUUCAGAUCUGAUCCUGAAUGACAACAUGUCACUUUCUGAUAAUAACAAAGUGUUGUCUUUUAACACUGUAAACAGAGACAACAAUGGAGAUUAUCUCUGUAACAUCAGUAACCCUGUCAGCAGCAGUGAGGCUAAAUACAGGAUGGAUGUAUGGGCCAGAAAAUGUUCAAAUCACAGGUGAACGUGACAUAAAUGUGAAUGAGUCUAUAAAACUGAUCUGCUCUGCUGACUCUACUCCAUCUGCCACGUUCACCUGGAUGUUAAAUGGAACAGAGAUUCCUUCUAAUUCUCCUGAGUUCUCAAAAGAAAAUGCUGAACUUUCUGAUGCUGGAAUUUACACCUGUCAAGCGUUGAAUCACAUAACUGACAGAAGAUCAUCGGCAACUUCCGAAUUGUUUGUUCAUGCAGGUAUACCGUGCCCUCCAUAAUUAUUGGCACCCCUAGAUAAGAUGUGUUCUUUAGUUUCUAAUGCAUUCAGUUUUUUUCUUAAUAAAAUAGGACCACAAUGAAAAAAAAAGAGUAAAAUCCAAGCUUUAAUUCAAGUGCAUUUAUUCAGUAGGAAAAAAAUCCCACAUUAAGCAGUAAUUGUUUUACAUCAAAUCAUGUGUGCCAUUAUUAGCAUCCCUGAUGUUAAUACUUUGUACAACCCCCUUUUGCCAACAAAACAGCAUCUAAUCUUCUCCUAUACUGUUUCACAAGAUGGGAGAAUACAGAAAGAGGGAUCUUGGACCAUUCCUCUUUGCACAGUCUCUCUAAAUCAUCCAGCGACCUGGGUCCUCUCCUCUGCACUCUCCUCUUCAGCUCACCCCAUAGGUUUUCAAUGGGGCCAGACCCACUAAGAGCGUUUGUUGCCAAAAAGCACUAUCUUUGUCUCAUCUGACCAAAGCACACGGUCCCAGUUGAAGCCCCAGUGCUGCUUAGCAAACUCCAGGCGCUGCGUUUAUGAUUGUGAGUGAGAAAAGGUUUUUUCCGUGCAUGCCUCCCAACA
This is a long non-coding RNA of Cololabis saira (Pacific saury), 1345 nucleotides long. RefSeq lists it as uncharacterized. The transcript has 4 exons. The record is from RefSeq and is a predicted model, not a curated record. Lineage: Eukaryota; Metazoa; Chordata; Actinopteri; Beloniformes; Belonidae.